CUUAUUUCUUUAUUCAUUUUAAGAAAGAGAGAAAAGAUUUGAAAAUCGGUUAACACAAUUCAAAUCCUCCUCCCCUAUUUCUUGUGUUUCCUCAACCACUUUCAAUUAUAUCUAUGGGGUUUAAGGUGUCACAAACAAUAUUAUCCUUAUUUUGUACUUUUUCUUUUUCUAUCAUUUUUUUGACGCAUUUUCCUUUUCUAUCAUGAAAGGUUAUAAAUAUAAUGAAAAUUUGUUAGAAAAAAAAUGACUUAUUGUGAUUAUUAAAUUUUUAUGUGAUCUCAUAGAGGUGCUAAAGGGGCAAAUUAAGAUAUUGGUGUUCUUAAGAGACAUACAAUAAUUAUAUCAAUUUUAGAAAGUCUUUUAACAAUUUGAUACGUGCUAAAAACUAUUUAAUUAAUGUAAGGAUAUUAUGAGCUUUAAUUUAUAAAUCAAAACGGGAUAAAAUUUCAUGCAAAAAGGGUGGAAAACAUGGAUAAUUUUCUUAAGUUUGUUUAUGUUAUGAUUUUCCUUUUUUCCCAAUAUCUUGUUUCAGCGCAAUAUUUACCGCGUGCUAAACCCUGUGUUCGUAAUCGUGAUUGUCCAACUUGCCUUUAUCCUGCAAAAAGGAGGUGUUUUAAUCGCAUUUGUGUAUGUCAAGGAUAAGAGAAUACACAAAUGAACCGCUAGAAAAUUUCAUGAGUUGUUAUUUAAUUAAUUACCAUGAUCACCCAAUAAUUAAAUUUUCUUUUACCUUUUUUAAUUUCA
Trifolium pratense (red clover) is the source of this 744-nucleotide long non-coding RNA. RefSeq lists it as uncharacterized. The record is from RefSeq and is a predicted model, not a curated record. NCBI's taxonomy places the organism in Eukaryota, Viridiplantae, Streptophyta, Magnoliopsida, Fabales, Fabaceae. The transcript has 2 exons.